UACUCAAAGAAAGCUAUGACUGAUAUGGACAGCACUAAUCUCUAUGCUUACAUUUCCAUCAUUGCUCUCAUUGCCUGUAUUCCACCUGCCAUUAUUUUGGAGGGACCUCAACUACUGAAGUACGGAUUUAACGAUGCAAUUGCUAAAGUGGGCAUCACCAAAUUCAUCUCAGACCUCUUCUGGGUGGGAAUGUUUUAUCACCUCUACAACCAGUUGGCUACCAACACUUUGGAGAGGGUUGCACCCCUUACGCAUGCAGUUGGGAAUGUGCUGAAAC
Molecule: unclassified non-coding RNA, 277 nt
Filed under: Hevea brasiliensis (rubber tree)
Lineage: Eukaryota; Viridiplantae; Streptophyta; Magnoliopsida; Malpighiales; Euphorbiaceae
Source: RNAcentral